UUAAGUUCAGCGGGUAGUCCUACCUGAUUUGAGAUCAAAUGUUCAAAGAGCUGUCCUCGCUGAGGAGAGACAUUUAUGAGCCCCAGCGAACCUCCAUCCACUGAAGGUUACCUAGCAGAAAACCACAAGUGUAGAUAUUUAUCACACCUGUGACGCCACCAAACACUGGCAAGCUGAUCCAUUUGAGAGGAGCCAACCAU
Molecule: unclassified non-coding RNA, 200 nt
Filed under: Tomentella sp.
Lineage: Eukaryota; Fungi; Basidiomycota; Agaricomycetes; Thelephorales; Thelephoraceae
Description: partial internal transcribed spacer 2
Source: RNAcentral